Molecule: ribosomal RNA, 274 nt
Filed under: uncultured bacterium
Lineage: Bacteria
Description: partial 16S ribosomal RNA
Rfam family: Bacterial small subunit ribosomal RNA
Source: RNAcentral
AUACGGAGGGUGCGAGCGUUAAUCGGAAUUACUGGGCGUAAAGGGUGCGUAGGCGGCUUGAUAAGUCGGAUGUGAAAGCCCCGGGCUUAACCUGGGAAUUGCAUUCGAUACUGUCAGGCUAGAGCAUGUCAGAGGUUGGCGGAAUUCCUGGUGUAGCGGUGAAAUGCGUAGAUAUCAGGAGGAACACCAGUGGCGAAGGCGGCUAACUGGGGCAAUACUGACGCUGAGGCACGAAAGCGUGGGGAGCAAACAGGAUUAGAAACCCUAGUAGUCC